This 466-nucleotide ribosomal RNA is filed under the name uncultured bacterium. RNAcentral describes it as "partial 16S ribosomal RNA". It matches the Rfam family "Bacterial small subunit ribosomal RNA", at positions 28 to 506 of the family's 1533-position model. The record is from RNAcentral.
GAUGAACGCUGGCGGCGUGCUUAACACAUGCAAGUCGAACGGGAAGGCUCCUGCUUGCCGGGGUACUCGAGUGGCGAACGGGUGAGUAACACGUGGGUGAUCUGCCCUGCACUUCGGGAUAAGCCUGGGAAACUGGGUCUAAUACCGGAUAGGACCACAUUUUGGAUGGUGUGGUGGAAAGUUUUUCGGUGUGGGAUGAGCUCGCGGCCUAUCAGCUUGUUGGUGGGGUAAUGGCCUACCAAGGCGUCGACGGGUAGCCGGCCUGAGAGGGUGUACGGCCACAUUGGGACUGAGAUACGGCCCAGACUCCUACGGGAGGCAGCAGUGGGGAAUAUUGCACAAUGGGCGCAAGCCUGAUGCAGCGACGCCGCGUGGGGGAUGACGGCCUUCGGGUUGUAAACUCCUUUCGCUAGGGACGAAGCGUUUUUGUGACGGUACCUGGAGAAGAAGCACCGGCUAACUACGU